CUACUAUAAAAGCACGAGUUUGAGCCGGAUCGUCGUCAACAUCAUUCCAAGGGCAUUUCGGUCAUUUCACGUUUUGGUCUUCCAUACUAAUAAUCAAUCUUCUUGAUUCUUCCUCUAUAAUCUGCAUUUUAUCUCAUUUUCUCUGCCUCUUCGCAACAUCCUUUAUUGAGUAUUUCUACUUUAACUUUAUUGUUAUUUAUAGGUUUUGCUUCCAAUUCGAGUUGUUACCGAUUGUUAAGAUAAAUUAUCACCGAAAAGAAAGAAAAAGUUUAGGUUUUUAUCAACAAACAAAGCGCUUUAUGGAACCAAGAUUUUUAAAGCGUGAACGAAAUCUCACAUCCAUUUUUUAGGAUGACCGAAGAACCGAAUCAGUCUAUUUUUAGCAGACCACAUUCAUCUACCUUCAUUUCGUUGUGUCCUGAGAUAAGUAAUCUGUUACGCUUUUUUCUGUGCAAUAGUUGGGUCCUUUUUCGCUUUGAUUUCGAUUCUCUUAUUGUCAAUUUAAACUUCUAAUUUUUGCAAGUUUCUGCAAUUCGUUCGUGUUCGACUGUCUCUUCUUUUUUCCAGUUUGUAUAUUUCUAAAAGAGCCUUCAUUUAUUUGUGGUACUUUUUAAUUUGUGCUUGAAAUUCUGACAGGAAAGAGUAGUAAUGCUAAAUUUUGGGUAAUAUUACAUGCUUAACAAUCUAUGGAGAAGAAAAUGUACUCUGGGCAGGUGAAACGAUUCGUACAUAGGUGUAGAAUCAAGGUGCAUAUUACAGAGGAAUGACGAUGAUUUACGCGCAUGCCAUUGUCAAGGAACUAAGGGAGAUGUAGGCGAGUGGGAGGACGAAGGAAUACGAGUAGAGAAUGUCACAGUCAUUGCUCUUAAUUUUUACUUCAGCAGUCGAAUUUUAUAUGUUAUCUCUUGAGGUUUGUGUGUGUGUUCGCAUCUCGUACUUUGGCAAGUAUCGCUCCUUUAUUGGAUUUCAUUUUUUCCCCUUAGCUUCUUCGCAUUGAGGAGACGUCGACUUCCCAAAAAUGCAUCGGCCUCUUUUGAAUGACGCUUCAAGGGUAGUCCGUUAACCUGCAAAGAUUGGUGUUCUCACUUGAGUCAUCUCCUCCCAGCAGCUUUCGAUGUAUCUCCUUCUCUCAUCAGAUACAAUAGAAUUAGACUCAGUCCGCAUUUUGAUACUGUGCUUCCUCGGGUGUUUUGUCGCAAUUUUACAAAGUAUUGUUGUAGUUCUAUUUUCCUUUCCUUCUAUUUCUGGUUCUUUCAUAGAUGGGUCGCUGCCUUGAAUUUACUUUUAUUUGCAUGAGUGUAGUUGCUCUUUCAUUCGUUUCAUAAUUAAUUUCAGGAGGAGUAAAAAUUAAUUUUAUCCUCAAUUUAAUUGGAAUUGCAGAAAACAGAUUACUCUUGCUGUGGUCUCCGCAGCAGGCUUGGUUUUCCGGGUGAAGGCAUACUCAUCUUAUGCCAAAGCUUCAAUUAUGGCAAGGGUGAACCAAGUUUUCAUCUAUUUGGAUUCAUAAUGUGUGUCGGUGCACACUUUGCAAGAGCACUCAAGUCGGUUGCUUCGGGGGAUUUUCUUGUCCUCCAAAGGGUAAUAUACAUUUGAUAAUGGAAUAAUGAUCAGAAGUAUAUGCUCUCAAUGACAAUUUUUUUUUAUAGUUUUGGGACUUCCAUAUUCACGAUAUGCUGCUAAAGAUAUCCCAAUCGUCAAGAGCAUAAUACAGGUGCAAUUCAAUCUCUUCCUUCAUGUCACUUGAUACUAUAGAAACUUAUUUUACAUUGAUGUAUGUGUAUAGUUAAUCGUAUCUUCAUCCUAAUAUCAAGGUGCUAUAUGUAUAGUCUUUUAGAGUGUAUGGAAAGAUAACUUCUUCCUUCUUUGUUUUUCUUUUUU
Molecule: RNA transcript, 1878 nt
Organism: Lycium ferocissimum
Lineage: Eukaryota; Viridiplantae; Streptophyta; Magnoliopsida; Solanales; Solanaceae
Exons: 5
Source: RefSeq, a predicted model, not a curated record